CAGCAGCCACGGUAAUACGGAGGGGGCUAGCGUUGCUCGGAAUGACUGGGCGUAAAGGGCGCGUAGGCGGAUUGCGCAGUCAGAUGUGAAAUUCCUGGGCUUAACCUGGGGGCUGCAUUUGAGACGCGUAGUCUAGAGUGUGAAAGAGGGUCGUGGAAUUCCCAGUGUAGAGGUGAAAUUCGUAGAUAUUGGGAAGAACACCGGUGGCGAAGGCGGCGACCUGGUUCAUAACUGACGCUGAGGCGCGAAAGCGUGGGGAGCAAACAGGAUUAGAUACCCGCGUAGUCCCUGUCUCUUAUAC
Molecule: ribosomal RNA, 301 nt
Filed under: uncultured bacterium
Lineage: Bacteria
Description: partial 16S ribosomal RNA
Rfam family: Bacterial small subunit ribosomal RNA
Source: RNAcentral